AGCUCCAAUAGCGUAUAUUAAAGUUGUUGCAGUUAAAAAGCUCGUAGUUGGAUUUCUGGUGGGAGCGAUGGGUCCGCCUUUCAUUAGGUGCGCACUCGGUUCGCGUCCGGCCUUUUUCGCGGCGAACGUGCCUGGCAUUAGGUUGUCGGGUUCGGGAGCCGCGUCAUUUACUGUGAAAAAUCAGGACGUUUCAAGUAGGCUUACGCCGUUGAAUGUACUAGCAUGGAAUAAUAAGAUAGGACUUUGGUGGUCUAUUUUGUUGGUUUGCACACCAAGGUAAUGAUUAAUAGGGAUAGUUGGGGGUAUUCGUAUUCAAUUGUCAGAGGUGAAAUUCUUGGAUUUAUGGAAGACGAACUACUGCGAAAGCAUUUACCAAGGAUGUUUUCA
This 387-nucleotide ribosomal RNA is filed under the name uncultured eukaryote. RNAcentral describes it as "SSU rRNA". It matches the Rfam family "Eukaryotic small subunit ribosomal RNA", at positions 587 to 972 of the family's 1831-position model. The record is from RNAcentral.